AUGGGAGUCCUUCUCCCUCAGAGGAUAUUCACAUAUAAGCACACCCCACUACCUUUUUUUUUUUUUCUUUUUUUUUUUGGUUCCUAGUUCAUGCAAGGUCAUAAGGUUGCACUGGUUUUGAGAUACAGUUUUGGGAGUCUUGUCACCACUCUUUUCAUACUUUGUGAUAUGAAUGAAAACCCUCUAUGUUACUGAUAAUUAGUUUUAUUAGUCAAAUUAAAUAGAGUAUGCUGUAUGACCCAUUUUGUUUCAUUUGUAGAAAAAAGAGAGAUUUUAAUUUGCCAGAUAUAAAGAAUUGCAAAAAAAUUGUAAUAUUAAAUGUUAGUAAUGAUAGAAGUAGCAUGAAUAUGUUUGUUUUAAUUGAUUGUAAAGUCUAGCCGUGGAAUAGACUUUUUUUUUAAUAAAUUGUAUCAUUUGUGGAUAUGGAAGAAGGGCAUCUUGUACAAUUAUUGAUUUGUUAGUUUGCCUAGUCUAAUAAUUAGAGUUUGAAUAUGAAAUAGUCCAUUGCACUAUUGAAACUGGCAGACACCUAAUUUUAGUUUUGUGAAAGGCCUUUACUCAUUAGACAUAUAGUAUUCAUUGUUGAAGGGUUUUUGUAUUCACAUUCAACAUCCUUUCUUGUAGGAAUAUUUAAUUGAUCUCAGGAAUAGUUAAAAAGUUAGGGCACAGAUCUUUAAAAGCAGCAGAACUGCCAGCCAGUGUCACUAACCUCUCACAACAAACAGAUUUUUAGAAUCUGUACUAUAAUGUAAUAUUAUUUUAUUAGUAUUGCUAUUAUCAUUUUAUUUAUGCCACUUUAGGCAAUUAUGAAGAUACAAACUUAACCCCUUAACGACGGCAGCUGGAGAUGAGAUAUUUCAUCGUGGCCUUCCUCUUGGCCGGCACGCUGGGUGAUUAGGCGUAUAGCGCUUGGCUGUGGCCAUUGCGGGCAAAGUCUAAGGUAUUAGACUUACAAGUUUGAAAUAUCCCGGUGUUUCAACCAUUUGGAGCCAAAACAGCCCUGUCGUUAACGGGUUAAUUGAUACUGCAUUUGAAAAAUACCGACAGGACAUUUUGGGGCACAUAACCCAUUGGCACCGGGUGACAUGAUAUCAUGUCAUGCGAAUAUUUUGCUCUUGCUGGAUGAUGUCCUAUCACAUCAUGAUCGUUCCUUCAAAAUAUAUGUUUUACAUCAUUAGUAUGUAUAUAAUCAUAGGAGUUUGAUUUGUUUAGACAUUUUUAUUCACUUGUGAAAAUAAGGUAAAUUAACAUAAAAAACUCUAAUUAUCAACCCAUUGAAGUGGGCGCAGCACGGCAUGGUGCCAGAAGAAAUCUGGUGCUUAGUCACUACAUGCGCUUGUUAUCUAGCCAGCAGGAGCAGCAUUACCCAAAUAUAAGCCCCGGUGUGAAUGGGUUAAAUAGUGGAUAAGCUGUAUAAACAAAAUAUCUCAAGUGACUGGCUAUAUAUACUGUUGCUCAAAAGAACACUGGUAUAGCAUGUUGAUUUUUACAUACAAGACUCAGGUGGUGAUUUUGAACACACAAAUUAUAGGCUGUUAUAUUUCAUCAGAUGUAUAGUGUUAGUUGCUCAAAGUUUACUCCUGUGAUAAGUAGGUAAUUUUGCUCUACACAUUUUAAAUAAUCCAGGUUCAUUUUUCUUUUACCAUACAGCAAGUGUUUUAUCCAUGACAGCCAAUGGAAAAAAAAGCCAACUAGUGGUUAUAUAUGACUGAGUGUGCGGGUAUGAGAGGGUCCUUUCCUCCUUGUCUAUCUGUUGUAGUUUAAUUGAACUUACGAGCUACUAAUACCAGUCUGCUUUGCAUGCCCCGGAUUUUUCUCUCUCUCUUUUAUUUUUGCAGUUUAGAUCUUUUAAAAGACUUAUUCUCAUGCGCUACCCUAUGUAUUUAAGCAUGCAUGUUAGAAUUUAUGUAAAUAUGUGAUUUUUUUUUCUUUUUUUUUCAACUUUAUUUUUACUCUUGCCUGUCAAUGCAUACCGGUACAUUCCACAAAGAUUUUUCUCAAGUACAUGUUUUCUGGAGAGUUUUAUUGUUAGUAUUAAAGUUGAGAAGUUGGGGUCAGGAAUAAUACUCCUUCAUGUUUUUCAUUAUACUUACAUAAAUAGGCAGAUAGAUUAAAAAUUUACAUUCGUGUUGAUGAGAUGUUACAGUGUUGUCUACUGUAUAUGAAGUCACUGCCUUUGAUGAAUGGUAACAGACGUUUCCUGUGCAAAUGCUCAUACUAAAUCAUGUCCAAUUUAAGGACAUUUUUCCAGUACUCAGGCUUAAAGAAUACAGAACCAGGAUGGUAGUAUAAAGCCAAAACAAACUAAACAUCUUGUCUAUUUACAAACUUCCUAUAUGCAUUGAAAUGUGAGUUUCGUUUUUUCAGUCAUAAACCCACGUAACCGACUGAGUCUGAGUGAUGCGACAGAAUGAGUUAUUGGAUAUAGUUAUCCCAAAGUUGUGAUGGCAAAGAUUGUAGUGAAUGACCAUGUUUAGUAAGGCUAGUGAUGAUAUUUAUGAAAUGCAAAUAGUGUGAUAAAGCACAGAUGCAGAAAUGUUUGAAAAUAUGAGAUUGAAUGAAAUUACAGUAAGAAAUGUUAUGUUAAAUCACACCAAAUUAGUGGUAGCUGAAGCAGAAGGUUCAGGCAGGAGCACAAAAAGGGAUUACUGUUAUUGAUGUUCCUGCUAGAAAAAGUUCAAUUUAACCUGAAAUGUUACGAACUUUGUUUCUUCUAUUUUUUGUAGGGUUUCAUUAGAUAUUGUUGUCAGUUUCUCAUAGGGAAACCAAGAUUUAAGCAUUUGUUUGGUAUGUGUAUUAGAUCAAUUUAUCUGUAGCAGAGAUUAAAGAAAAUAUACUUUUCAAAGAAUUAGCCAUUUAAGCAUAGACUAUUCACAAUAGUGAUGUAAUCCUGCUUGGUUCCAUAUUGCACAAUUCAUAAACGUUACUAAAGAAAGCAUUACCAUACAACUUUUAAUGAGGAAUAUGAAUUACAAUUUUUUUUUUUUUUUUUACAAUUAAUUUUCCUCCUUUGGAGAAUGCAUAUUUGAUAUAUAUUUAUGUAUAUAUGUUUAUGUAUUUGUGUAUAUAUAUAUAUAUAUAUAUAUAUAUAUAUAUAUAUAUAUAUAAAUAAAUAUAAAUAUAUAUAUACAUACAUUAUAUAUGAAUUUAUAAUUUGAGAUUUCUUUAAAUGUUACUACAUCCAUAUAUAUACUGAUACAGUGACUAUACUCACUAGAUAUCUGACUUCCUUUUUUAUGUACCUUAUUUAUAUUUAAUAUGGAGGAUCACUUACUACUUUUUCAAGGCAGUGACAAGAAUACAGAAGCACUGAACAUCUCUUACAGCAGAGGUGAAUGUAUGUAUAAAUAGCAGGUAUUAAAAUGCAAAUUCAGUGAUCUCUAGACAUGUGUUCAUAACAGACUAUAUAGACAUUUAAGAAAGUUUUUUCUUUGUAAUUGAGAAAAGAAGGUCAUUAUUGUUAUAUAUUUUUGUUGUGGUUUAUGAGUUCAGAGGAAUACCAGAGAAAAAGUGGGUCUGGAUUUUUAUUUAUGGAUUUUUUAUUUUCUGAAAUAUAGUUAUAGAGUGAUUGAUAUUUGGUUUAAACUUUGAUAAAUGGUUGGAGAAAUAAUGGACAAUAUAUUUGUUAAAAGUAGUUGA
This 3639-nucleotide long non-coding RNA is filed under the name Penaeus japonicus. RNAcentral's name for it is "uncharacterized LOC122254435". Lineage: Eukaryota; Metazoa; Arthropoda; Malacostraca; Decapoda; Penaeidae. The record is from RNAcentral.